This 957-nucleotide long non-coding RNA is filed under the name Parus major (Great Tit). RNAcentral describes it as "lncRNA (ENSPMJG00000003142.1)". The record is from RNAcentral. Lineage: Eukaryota; Metazoa; Chordata; Aves; Passeriformes; Paridae.
GAUUUGUUUAAAAUCGGGGUUUAAGAGGAAAAAAUUGGAAUUUAUCAGAUUUUUUAGGAUUGAAUUUAUCGGAUUUAUGGGAUUUUUUGGGGGGGGAAGAAAAAGUCAAUUUUUUUGGGGUGUAAAACGGCGUUUUCCGGGAAUUUUUGAGGGGAAAAACGGGAAUUUGGGGAAAAACGGGAAAUUAUGAUUUUUAAAAAGAGUCAGAGUCGAAAUGAAAAGAGGAAAAUUCACGAUUUUUAAAUUAAAUUUAAAAAAAACCCGUACAAAUAAAAAUUGUUUCCCGCCCCUCCCCCACCCUGGGGUUAAUUAAUUCAGGUUAAUUAAAUCAGGUUAAUUAAAUUAGGUUAAUUAAAUCCUCCCCCCGUUAAUGAGGGGUGGGGGGAGGAGCUGGGGGUCCUGGGAAAGGAGAUGGCCACGGUCACUCAGUGGUCACUCAGUGGUCUCUCAGGGGUCACUCAGGGGUCACUCAGUGCCCGGUGGUCACUCAGGGGUCACUCAGGGGUCACUCAGUGGUCACUCAGUGGUCACUCAGUGGUCAGUGGUCACUCAGGAGUCACUCAGGGGUCACUCAGGGGUCAGAGCCCGGUGGUCACUCAGGGGUCACUCAGAGCCCUGUGGUCACUCAGUGUCCGGUGGUCACUCAGGGAUCACUCAGGGGUCACUCAGGGAUCACUCAGGGGUCACUCAGCGGUCACUCAGGGGUCAGAGCCCGGUGGUCACUCAGUGUCUGGUGGUCACUCAGGGAUCACUCAGGGGUCACUCAGCGGUCACUCAGCGGUCACUCAGGGGUCAGAGCCCGGUGGUCACUCAGUGUCCGGUGCAGGUGGCCGAAGUCCGGCCGCUCGGCCGCCUCUCGGGCCCAGCAGUUCAACAUCAGCCGGUGCAGGGCGGGGGGGCAGCCGGGGGGGCAGGGCAGGUACUGCUGGGAACUGGGGUUACUGGGAUGGACUGGGA